UUAAGCGACUAAGCGUACACGGUGGAUGCCCUGGCAGUCAGAGGCGAUGAAGGACGUGCUAAUCUGCGAAAAGCGUCGGUAAGGUGAUAUGAACCGUUACAGCCGGCGAUGUCCGAAUGGGGAAACCCAGUGCAAUUCGUUGCACUAUCGUUAACUGAAUACAUAGGUUAACGAGGCGAACCGGGGGAACUGAAACAUCUAAGUACCCCGAGGAAAAGAAAUCAACCGAGAUUCCCCCAGUAGCGGCGAGCGAACGGGGAGCAGCCCAGAGUCUGAAUCAGCUUGUGUGUUAGUGGAACGGUCUGGAAAGUCCGACGGUACAGGGUGAUAGUCCCGUACACCAAAAUGCACAGGCUGUGAACUCGAAGAGUAGGGCGGGACACGUGGUAUCCUGUCUGAAUAUGGGGGACCAUCCUCCAAGGCUAAAUACUCCUGACUGACCGAUAGUGAACCAGUACCGUGAGGGAAAGGCGAAAAGAACCCCGGCGAGGGGAGUGAAAAAGAACCUGAAACCGUGUACGUACAAGCAGUGGGAGCACCUUCGGGUGUGACUGCGUACCUUUUGUAUAAUGGGUCAGCGACUUAUAUUCUGUAGCAAGGUUAACCGUAUAGGGGAGCCGCAGGGAAACCGAGUCUUAACUGGGCGUUAAGUUGCAGGGUAUAGACCCGAAACCCGGUGAUCUAGCCAUGGGCAGGUUGAAGGUUGGGUAACACUAACUGGAGGACCGAACCGACUAAUGUUGAAAAAUUAGCGGAUGACUUGUGGCUGGGGGUGAAAGGCCAAUCAAACCGGGAGAUAGCUGGUUCUCCCCGAAAGCUAUUUAGGUAGCGCCUCGUGAAUUCAUCUUCGGGGGUAGAGCACUGUUUCGGCUAGGGGGUCAUCCCGACUUACCAACCCGAUGCAAACUACGAAUACCGAAGAAUGUUAUCACGGGAGACACACGGCGGGUGCUAACGUCCGUCGUGAAGAGGGAAACAACCCAGACCGCCAGCUAAGGUCCCAAAGUCACAGUUAAGUGGGAAACGAUGUGGGAAGGCACAGACAGCCAGGAUGUUGGCUUAGAAGCAGCCAUCAUUUAAAGAAAGCGUAAUAGCUCACUGGUCGAGUCGGCCUGCGCGGAAGAUGUAACGGGGCUAAACUGUGCACCGAAGCUGCGGCAGCGACACUAUGUGUUGUUGGGUAGGGGAGCGUUCUGUAAGCCUGCGAAGGUGGCCUGUGAGGGUUGCUGGAGGUAUCAGAAGUGCGAAUGCUGACAUAAGUAACGAUAAUGCGGGUGAAAAGCCCGCACGCCGGAAGACCAAGGGUUCCUGUCCAACGUUAAUCGGGGCAGGGUGAGUCGACCCCUAAGGCGAGGCCGAAAGGCGUAGUCGAUGGGAAACAGGUUAAUAUUCCUGUACUUGGUGUUACUGCGAAGGGGGGACGGAGAAGGCUAUGUUAGCCGGGCGACGGUUGUCCCGGUUUAAGCAUGUAGGCGGAGGUUCCAGGUAAAUCCGGUACCUUAUUAACGCUGAGGUGUGAUGACGAGGCACUACGGUGCUGAAGUAACAAAUGCCCUGCUUCCAGGAAAAGCCUCUAAGCAUCAGGUAACAUUGAAUCGUACCCCAAACCGACACAGGUGGUCAGGUAGAGAAUACCAAGGCGCUUGAGAGAACUCGGGUGAAGGAACUAGGCAAAAUGGUGCCGUAACUUCGGGAGAAGGCACGCUGAUAUGUAGGUGAAGCCCCUGCGGGUGGAGCUGAAAUCAGUCGAAGAUACCAGCUGGCUGCAACUGUUUAUUAAAAACACAGCACUGUGCAAACACGAAAGUGGACGUAUACGGUGUGACGCCUGCCCGGUGCCGGAAGGUUAAUUGAUGGGGUUAUCCGUAAGGAGAAGCUCUUGAUCGAAGCCCCGGUAAACGGCGGCCGUAACUAUAACGGUCCUAAGGUAGCGAAAUUCCUUGUCGGGUAAGUUCCGACCUGCACGAAUGGCGUAAUGAUGGCCAGGCUGUCUCCACCCGAGACUCAGUGAAAUUGAACUCGCUGUGAAGAUGCAGUGUACCCGCGGCAAGACGGAAAGACCCCGUGAACCUUUACUAUAGCUUGACACUGAACAUUGAGCCUUGAUGUGUAGGAUAGGUGGGAGGCUUUGAAGCGUGGACGCCAGUCUGCGUGGAGCCAACCUUGAAAUACCACCCUUUAAUGUUUGAUGUUCUAACGUUGGCCCCUGACCGGGGUUGCGGACAGUGUCUGGUGGGUAGUUUGACUGGGGCGGUCUCCUCCCAAAGAGUAACGGAGGAGCACGAAGGUUAGCUAAUCCUGGUCGGACAUCAGGAGGUUAGUGCAAUGGCAUAAGCUAGCUUGACUGCGAGCGUGACGGCGCGAGCAGGUGCGAAAGCAGGUCAUAGUGAUCCGGUGGUUCUGAAUGGAAGGGCCAUCGCUCAACGGAUAAAAGGUACUCCGGGGAUAACAGGCUGAUACCGCCCAAGAGUUCAUAUCGACGGCGGUGUUUGGCACCUCGAUGUCGGCUCAUCACAUCCUGGGGCUGAAGUAGGUCCCAAGGGUAUGGCUGUUCGCCAUUUAAAGUGGUACGCGAGCUGGGUUUAGAACGUCGUGAGACAGUUCGGUCCCUAUCUGCCGUGGGCGCUGGAGAAUUGAGGGGGGCUGCUCCUAGUACGAGAGGACCGGAGUGGACGCAUCACUGGUGUUCGGGUUGUCAUGCCAAUGGCAUUGCCCGGUAGCUAAAUGCGGAAGAGAUAAGUGCUGAAAGCAUCUAAGCACGAAACUUGCCCCGAGAUGAGUUCUCCCUGAGACUUUAAGUCUCCUGAAGGAACGUUAAAGACGAUGACGUUGAUAGGUCGGGUGUGUAAGCGUAGCGAUACGUUGAGCUAACCGAUACUAAUGAACCGUGAGGCUUAACCUU
Molecule: ribosomal RNA, 2902 nt
Filed under: Klebsiella aerogenes
Lineage: Bacteria; Pseudomonadati; Pseudomonadota; Gammaproteobacteria; Enterobacterales; Enterobacteriaceae
Description: 23S ribosomal RNA
Rfam family: Bacterial large subunit ribosomal RNA
Source: RNAcentral